AACGAACGCUGGCGGCGUGCCUAACACAUGCAAGUCGAACGCGAAAAGGGGUAACCCUGAGUAGAGUGGCGCACGGGUGAGUAACACGUAACUGACCUGCCCUAAGCUCUGGGAUAACCAUUCGAAAGGAUGGCUAAUACUGGAUAAGCCCACGAGUCAUCAUUGUGGGAAAAGAAUGGGACCUUACGGGGCCAUUCGACAUAGGAGGGGGUUGCGUCCCAUCAGCUAGUUGGUGAGGUAAAAGCUCACCAAGGCUAAGACGGAGUAGCGUGGUCUGAGGAGGAUGACUCACGACCACACGUAGGAACUGA
This 311-nucleotide ribosomal RNA is filed under the name uncultured bacterium. RNAcentral's name for it is "bacterial SSU rRNA". It matches the Rfam family "Bacterial small subunit ribosomal RNA", at positions 29 to 322 of the family's 1533-position model. The record is from RNAcentral.